Molecule: RNA transcript, 1355 nt
Organism: Lates calcarifer (barramundi perch)
Lineage: Eukaryota; Metazoa; Chordata; Actinopteri; Centropomidae
Exons: 9
Source: RefSeq, a predicted model, not a curated record
UGAAGACGUAGGCUGUAAAUCUACAGAGUAUUUCCUGAAUGGGUCACUCUUCAAGAGGAGAAGCCCUUCACAACAGCUUAUCUGCUGCGCUGCUACUCUUUCUCACAAUAAUGACACACCCAAUGGAUGAUUUUUUCUAUCCUCGGCCAAAACGCAGCCAAGGCCUACACACCCAGGAAAGCGGUGAUGCUGGUCUCUCCUCCAACAUGGAGCACACGUUUAGUGAUGAUUACAAUGAAAAUGCUUCACCUGUGGCAGAUAAAGGCAGCUUUGUAAUACCCAUUCCUAAAGAGGAACUAGACAACACUGAGUGUUUUGGAAUGGCGGAAGAGGAGAUGCAACACCCAUCUGUGUUUAGACCGCCUCCUAGUUCAAACACGAUGAUCUUGUCCUUGAUGGGCCACACAAAGCCUGAGUCACACUCUGUGGUUGCUGAGGAGCCAUUAUUAGACCCAUCCACUCUUGUUUUGGAGAAAAAAAACAUUCCACCACAAGCCACGCUGAUAGAGAAAGGCCCGGAAGAGAAAACUGUCCACACUUUACCCGGAACCACAACCAUUUCGGAGGGAGAGGUAGAUACAGAGGUAGAGGGAGAAGAGAAGCGAAAUAUGGACACUGGUGUAAACCCUGUGAAACCAAGAGGCCACCACAGGAAAAGAUCUCCAGGGAGGAACUGGAAAUGGUUUCUGGCAUUUAUACUCAUCACUCAUGUCUCCAUGGGCUUUGCUGAAACUCACCCUGCAGGGGACCAAAGGUCUCAGUGCUUCACCUGCAUGGACAGGGAGAAAUGCCCACAUUUGCUGACGAUAUAUGAUCCUUCAGAUACUCUCCUGUUCUCUAGAGACCCCAAUCAAGCACUACCAAAUUGCUCUGCAGUCUUUUCACCUCCCUCUAUGAGCUGUACUGUGUGCUGUGACCAGACCAAUGUCACCAUCUACUGCUCAGUGGAUGUAGGAGAAGAACUGGAGGUGGAGGCCAGUGAUGGAUCACAGAUUGAAAAUAUCUCUCCUGUCUGUAAGUGAACAGCAGCCCCGUGGCCGUGCACAUGUUGGAUUGAUUUCUAGCCCUGGUCUCUUUUUGAUCGUGAUUGGAGCACUUGUGAUUUAGCAAGAUUAAAAAUGGUGAAGAGCAGUGCAUGAUCAAAAUGAAGACAGCAGAGGUCAUUCCUUCACCGAGCUAUUUUCAUUUACGCCUAAUCAAACCUUUUGCAUUUCACCUUUUUUCAGUUGAAAUUGCUUCCAUAUACCAUAUAGAUAAAAUGAAAAAAAAAGCUGAUAAUUCUGUUUUAAAUUCUGCAAAAAUUGCCAAAUGAACUUGUGUAUCUGUUCUUUUGAUUAAAAAAAUUGCUGUAAACA